Molecule: transfer RNA, 64 nt
Filed under: Dipodomys ordii (Ord's kangaroo rat)
Lineage: Eukaryota; Metazoa; Chordata; Mammalia; Rodentia; Heteromyidae
Rfam family: tRNA
About the family: Transfer RNA (tRNA) molecules are approximately 80 nucleotides in length.
Source: Rfam by way of RNAcentral
GGUAGCUCAGUGGUAAAGCACAUGCCUACCAAGCAUGAAGCCCUGGGUUUGAUCUCUAGUACCA